This 442-nucleotide ribosomal RNA is filed under the name uncultured bacterium. RNAcentral describes it as "partial 16S ribosomal RNA". It matches the Rfam family "Bacterial small subunit ribosomal RNA", at positions 338 to 795 of the family's 1533-position model. The record is from RNAcentral.
CCUACGGGAGGCAGCAGUGGGGAAUAUUGGGCAAUGGGCGCAAGCCUGACGCAGCAACGCCGCGUGAGUGAAGAAGGCUUUCGGGUCGUAAAGUUCUUUUAAGAGGGAAGAAUAGAAGACGUUACGUCUUGAAUAAGCUACCGCUAACUAAGGGCCAGGAGCCGCGGUAGUACGUAGGCGGCAAACGUUGUCCGGAUUUACUGGGUGUAAAGGUCGCGUAGACGGGCCGGCAAGUCAGCAGUGAAAUCCCUAGGCUCAACGUUGGAACUGCAUUGGAAACUGGCGGUCUUGAGUGUCGGAGAGGCAGGCGGAAUUCCUAGUGUAGCGGUGAAAUGCGUAGAUAUUAGGAGGAACACCAGUGGCGAAGGCGGCUUGCUGGACGACAACUGACGGUGAGGCGCGAAAGCGUGGGGAGCAAACAGGAUUAGAUACCCGGGUAGUC